This 253-nucleotide ribosomal RNA is filed under the name uncultured bacterium. Its description in RNAcentral is "partial 16S ribosomal RNA". It matches the Rfam family "Bacterial small subunit ribosomal RNA", at positions 524 to 776 of the family's 1533-position model. The record is from RNAcentral.
UACGUAGGGUGCUAGCGUUGUCCGGAAUCAUUGGGCGUAAAGCGCGUGUAGGCGGUCCGGUAAGUCCGCUGUGAAAGUCGGGGGCUCAACCCUCGAAUGCCGGUGGAUACUGUCGGGCUAGAGUGCGGAAGAGGCGAGUGGAAUUCCUGGUGUAGCGGUGAAAUGCGCAGAUAUCAGGAGGAACACCAAUUGCGAAGGCAGCUCACUACGGAUAUAUUGACACUGAGGCACGAAAGCGUGGGGAUCAAACAGG